This is a long non-coding RNA of Cryptomeria japonica (Japanese cedar), 242 nucleotides long. RefSeq lists it as uncharacterized. Lineage: Eukaryota; Viridiplantae; Streptophyta; Pinopsida; Cupressales; Cupressaceae. The record is from RefSeq and is a predicted model, not a curated record. The transcript has 3 exons.
AGGAAAUAUCCAUACCUAUUUCAUCAAUGGCGAACCCUCCUCCGUACACUGGAGAAGCAUCUCAGGAUCCGGUAAUAGUGACAGUUUCUACAUCGACAGUGAGCCAUCCUCAAUCCAUUGGAGAAGCAUCUCAAGCACAGACCCCUUCGUGGUACAGUCAUAACAUGGAUCCAUUUAAGUAUGUCUUCAAGAAAACUCCUAAGAGUGAUAAGGAGAGGAGAGUGAAGACAUUAGCUCCUAGA